This 276-nucleotide ribosomal RNA is filed under the name Foraminifera environmental sample. Its description in RNAcentral is "partial small subunit ribosomal RNA". It matches the Rfam family "Eukaryotic small subunit ribosomal RNA", at positions 1217 to 1418 of the family's 1831-position model. The record is from RNAcentral. Lineage: Eukaryota; Foraminifera.
ACCGGGUCCGGACACACUGAGGAUUGACAGGCGUUUACUUGUUUUUUUGGCAUCGAAGUUCGCUUCAGUGUCCUUAAUUCAAGUAUAGCAAAUAUGCUAGUCCUUUCAUGAUUGUGUGAUAGGUGGUGCAUGGCCGUUCUUAGUUCGUGGAGUGAUCUGUCUGCUUAAUUGCGUUUCACAUAUAUGAACGAAAGUGCCCCGCCUGUGUUUGUGGUACGCCACGAACACGGCUUUGAUGUGGGUUACUACAAGUUCUGAAGGCAACGACCGUGACCG